This 24-nucleotide non-coding RNA is filed under the name Arabidopsis thaliana (thale cress). Lineage: Eukaryota; Viridiplantae; Streptophyta; Magnoliopsida; Brassicales; Brassicaceae. The record is from RNAcentral.
GUAGAAGCACUAAACCAUUUGUGC